UCAUAUAUACUUUGAGGGAACAUACACUUGUGAAGCACCACUACCACUCAUCACUCAUCACAUAAAACCCUCCCAUCUCUUUCCUCUUCCUAUUCUCCCUUGCCAUAACCUCCAAAUUAAUAUGGCACCACCACCGCCCCUCACCUCCACCCUAGCUCUCUCCCUCUCCGCCAUCCUCCUCCUCCUCUUCACCUCCACCUCCCAAGCACACAACAUCACACGCAUUCUCGCCAAGCACCCCUCUCUCUCCACCUUCAACCACUACCUCACUCUCACCCACCUCGCCGCCGAGAUCAACCGCCGCCAGACCAUCACCGUUCUCGCCAUCGACAAUGCCGCCAUGGACGCCAUCCUCGCCAAGCACUUCUCCAUCCCUACCCUCAAGAAUGUGCUUUCCCUCCACGUCCUCGUGGAUUACUUCGGCGCCAAGAAGCUCCACCAGCUCACCGGUGGCACCACCUUGACCGCCACCAUGUUCCAGUCCACCGGCACUGCCGACGGGACCUCCGGCUACGUGAAUAUCACCAAC
Molecule: long non-coding RNA, 529 nt
Filed under: Fragaria vesca (wild strawberry)
Lineage: Eukaryota; Viridiplantae; Streptophyta; Magnoliopsida; Rosales; Rosaceae
Description: long non-coding RNA (FVES_LNC003135)
Source: RNAcentral